CUUAGUGGCGGACGGGUGAGUAACGCGUGGAUAACCUGGCCCAUACAGGGGGAGUAGCAGCUGGAAACGGCUGGUAAUACCGCAUAAGCGCACGGUACGGCAUCGUACAGUGUGAAAAACUCCGGUGGUAUGGGAUGGGUCCGCGUCUGAUUAGGCAGUUGGCGGGGUAAAGGCCCACCAAACCGACGAUCAGUAGCCGGCCUGAGAGGGUGGGCGGCCACAUUGGGACUGAGACACGGCUCAAACUCCUACGGGAGGCAGCAG
This 264-nucleotide ribosomal RNA is filed under the name uncultured bacterium. RNAcentral describes it as "partial 16S ribosomal RNA". It matches the Rfam family "Bacterial small subunit ribosomal RNA", at positions 91 to 354 of the family's 1533-position model. The record is from RNAcentral.